RNAcentral lists this ribosomal RNA (419 nucleotides) under bacterium. Its description in RNAcentral is "partial 16S ribosomal RNA". It matches the Rfam family "Bacterial small subunit ribosomal RNA", at positions 355 to 776 of the family's 1533-position model. The record is from RNAcentral.
UGGGGGAUAUUGCACAAUGGGCGAAAGCCUGAUGCAGCGACGCCGCGUGGGGGAUGAAGGCCUUCGGGUUGUAAACUUCUUUUGCUCUGAACAAGGCAUGCUAAUGGGUGUGUUGAGUGUAGGGGUUGAUUAGCGCCGGCUAACUACGUGCCAGCAGCCGCGGUAAUACGUAGGGCGCGAGCGUUGUCCGGAAUUAUUGGGCGUAAAGGGCUUGUAGGUGGCUGGUUGCGUCUGUCGUGAAAGCUCAUGGCUUAACUGUGGGUUUGCGGUGGGUACGGGCUGGCUUGAGUGCAGUAGGGGAGGCUGGAAUUCCUGGUGUAGCGGUGGAAUGCGCAGAUAUCAGGAGGAAUACCGGUGGCGAAGGCGGGUCUCUGGGCUGUUACUGACACUGAGGAGCGGAAGCAUGGGGAGCGAACAGG